This 700-nucleotide ribosomal RNA is filed under the name uncultured bacterium. RNAcentral's name for it is "bacterial SSU rRNA". It matches the Rfam family "Bacterial small subunit ribosomal RNA", at positions 54 to 749 of the family's 1533-position model. The record is from RNAcentral.
CAUGCAAGUCGAGCGGCAGCGCGGGGGCAACCCUGGCGGCGAGCGGCGAACGGGUGAGUAAUGCAUCGGAACGUGUCCUUUUGUGGGGGAUAACCAGUCGAAAGACUGGCUAAUACCGCAUGAGCUCGCAAGAGGAAAGCAGGGGACCCGCAAGGGCCUUGCGCGAGAGGAGCGGCCGAUGCCCGAUUAGCUAGUUGGUGGGGUAAUAGCCCACCAAGGCGACGAUCGGUAGCUGGUAUGAGAGUACGACCAGCCACACUGGGACUGAGACACGGCCCAGACUCCUACGGGAGGCAGCAGUGGGGAAUUUUGGACAAUGGGGGCAACCCUGAUCCAGCCAUGCCGCGUGUGUGAAGAAGGCCUUCGGGUUGUAAAGCACUUUCGGACGGAACGAAAUCGCGCGAUCUAACAAGUCGCGUGGAUGACGGUACCGUAAGAAGAAGCACCGGCUAACUACGUGCCAGCAGCCGCGGUAAUACGUAGGGUGCGAGCGUUAAUCGGAAUUACUGGGCGUAAAGUGUGCGCAGGCGGCGUCGCAAGUCGAGUGUGAAAGCCCCGGGCUUAACUUGGGAAUUGCGCUCGAAACUACGGUGCUGGAGUAUGGCAGAGGAAGUGGAAUUCCACGUGUAGCGGUGAAAUGCGUAGAGAUGUGGAGGAACACCGAUGGCGAAGCAGCCUUCUGGGCCAAUACUGACGCUCA